RNAcentral lists this unclassified non-coding RNA (157 nucleotides) under uncultured fungus. Its description in RNAcentral is "sequence contains ITS1". Lineage: Eukaryota; Fungi. The record is from RNAcentral.
UUGAUAAUUCAAUCUCACUCGGACAGUAUCGCAUUUUCAGAGUUUAAAGUUUGACGAGUCCAUGACAUCGCCAAAGAAACCAGAGGUUCAACAAGGGGUGUGAAUGAGGCCGAAGCCUAACACUGUAAUGAUCCUUCCGCAGGUUCACCUACGGAAA